Balaenoptera musculus (blue whale) is the source of this 269-nucleotide long non-coding RNA. RefSeq lists it as uncharacterized. The transcript has 3 exons. The record is from RefSeq and is a predicted model, not a curated record. NCBI's taxonomy places the organism in Eukaryota, Metazoa, Chordata, Mammalia, Artiodactyla, Balaenopteridae.
CUCCCACGACCCCAGAGGAAAGCGGCCGGGCGGAGACUCGAGUGGGGUCUCAGAACAAAGAUAUUAUACUCUAAUGAGAAGAAUUGAAGAAUGUACUGAUCUUGAGGUUGUUAAGAGUUAGAAAAAAUACUAUGAUGUUGCCUCAUAAGUGGUAAACUAGGGCUCUGAGGAAUGCUUCAGUGUGAUCACUGCAUCUCUAUGGCACCCCUGCAAUUAUGGUUCAGAAUACAAGGGGACACAGGUUCGAGCCCUGGUCCAGGAAGAUCCCA